AGACAGAGUAACUAAUAGACCCAAUGACGAUACCUUUCUCACUUACACAAGAAAGAGAGCGAAAAUACCAUAACAAAUGCAUAAGACAAAGACACAAAUACCCAAUUUUUUGUCCCUUAGUGUGUAACCUGUUUUUCAAGAUCCGCAACUUGAGUUGCGAAACAAACUUUGACAGUUCGUGCCUUCAUCGUGCUUGGUGUUCGAAUUUUGGAUAUUAUUUAGUAAAAAAUCGAUACGAGUACAUUGAAAAGACGGUGAAAUUAUCUUAAUAUAGACAUCGAAGUAAAUAGAAUGGUGCGUUGUCGUGUUAUUGCAUGUAUAAGCGAUAGUGAGAAGAAAAUUGCCGGUGUGUCUUUUCACGCAUGAUCCAGACCUACGUAAUUAAUGGAUCGAAGUGGGAGAAAAGAUUGGAUUCUCACAAAAUAUUGUAAAAUAUGAACAAGCCAAUGAAAAAGUAAGAAAUGUGUUCACGAAAUUAACAUUGUUUCGUCAUCAAUAAUCAAUCUGCUUAUAUUUUUUUGUAUCUACUAAAUUGAUUAUAAAGACAAAAGAAAAAUCUC
Long non-coding RNA from Colias croceus (clouded yellow), 560 nucleotides. RefSeq lists it as uncharacterized. The transcript has 2 exons. The record is from RefSeq and is a predicted model, not a curated record. NCBI's taxonomy places the organism in Eukaryota, Metazoa, Arthropoda, Insecta, Lepidoptera, Pieridae.